Molecule: transfer RNA, 76 nt
Filed under: Escherichia coli
Lineage: Bacteria; Pseudomonadati; Pseudomonadota; Gammaproteobacteria; Enterobacterales; Enterobacteriaceae
Also listed under: 4 other names
Description: tRNA-Ala
Rfam family: tRNA
About the family: Transfer RNA (tRNA) molecules are approximately 80 nucleotides in length. Their secondary structure includes four short double-helical elements and three loops (D, anti-codon, and T loops).
Source: RNAcentral
GGGGCUAUAGCUCAGAUGGGAGAGCGCCUGCUUUGCACGCAGGAGGUCUGCGGUUCGAUCCCGCAUAGCUCCACCA